GUUCGUUAGAUAUAUAUGUCGUGUGCCUAGUGUAUCGACGUUGAAUGGUAGACUGAAAACGAUAUGAAAAUCCAGACUAUGUCUUGUGUGUGUGUGUGUGUGUGUGUGUGUGUGUGUGUGUGUGUGUAGAUCGAUAAGCGCGCGUGUUCCGGUGCACUGAACGUUUCAAUCGAACAGUCCCCACUUCAUAUAUCGCUACAAAUCGAUGUGAGACUACGACACCGUCAGGCGGUCGCAUUAAAACGUUCAGCGACGAAGCUGUUAGAAUUAAAUCAUUAAAUAAAAUGUGAAUGCUGGCUACAUGAUAUGAAUGUAACAGUAUAAGGAUAAU
This is a long non-coding RNA of Nymphalis io (European peacock), 331 nucleotides long. RefSeq lists it as uncharacterized. The transcript is spliced from 2 exons. NCBI's taxonomy places the organism in Eukaryota, Metazoa, Arthropoda, Insecta, Lepidoptera, Nymphalidae. The record is from RefSeq and is a predicted model, not a curated record.